CCCAGGAACUAUGUAUCGCCGACCCUUUCAUUUAUAUAUGCACAUGCGGAAGCAGUUAUAAUUCCCCAGACAAUAAAGCAAUGGGAUAGAAAAGCAGGCCAUACAUUUUUCAUACCGAAAAUUCACAACUACAUCUUUUUACAUUCAAACAAGGUCUGACAAGAUAGGAUAGGAUCUCGGUCCUCAUCCGGGUCAUACUCGAUGUCAUACUCGGGGUCCUCCUCCACGUACUCCUCUUUGGGUUCCUCAACAGAGAUCUCCUCAUCAGAUUCAUGCUCCUCAAGCUCCUUAUCCAGGUCCUGAAAUGGUUAUUCAAUAACCACUGAGACCACGUCUCAGCAAGUUCUACUUCCUAAGACCCGAUUAGUAAACUAAUACACCUUAGGGCUGCCUAUACACAACAUGAGUCAGAGGACUUACCUUGGCCUCAGAUUCCACCUGCAUGUUAGCACAUAUCAAAUAGGCACACAAGCAAUUACAUCACAGAUCGAAGCAUCGAUCUAAUCGACUUAGUCGAUUUCACAUCAGGAAGACCACUCACGAUCAUCUCCCUUCAAUCAUUCAAUUCACAACAUCAAACCAAGGCAAUGCAUCACAUCAAGUCACACUCAGAUCGAAUAAUCGAUCAAUCGACCUAGUCGAUUACAAGUCAAUCAGACCAUCUCAUGGUCAUUUCCAAUCAAUCUGCCCAUUCACAACAUCAGAUCAAGCAAUGAUCAAUCGACCUAGUCGAUUUCAUAUCAACAAGACCACUUCCGGUCAUUUCAACUAUUCCAAUUCAAUUCCCAAUUAUGAAUUACGGUCCUUAGGACACAACUUAAUUAUAGGUGGUAAUCAUGGCCCCACCAAGCAAUUUUCUUAGAUUUAGUGGCAUCACGGCCCCACCCGGCAACUUUUAAUAUGUAGUGGUAUCACGGCCCCACUCGGCAAUGCUAUAUGUAGUGGCAUCACGGCCCCACUCGGCAACUUUCAAUAUGUAGUGGCAUCACGGCCCCACUCGGCAAUGUUAUAUGUAGUGGCAUCACGGCCCCACUCGGCAACUUUCAAUAUGUAGUGGCAUCACGGCCCCACUCGGCAAUGUCAUAUGUAGUGGCAUCACGGCCCCACUCGGCAAUGUUAUAUGUAGUGGCAUCACGGCCCCACUCGGCAACUUUCAAUAUGUAGUGGCAUCACGGCCCCACUCGGCAAUUAUGUAUGUAGUGGCAUUAUCAACCGAUGCCCGGUUAUUCUUCAAUUAAUAACCAAAGAUGAUUCAAUUUAGGAAUAAAUCCUAAAAUCAUUGAUAAAUCAAUUUAGCACAAAAUCAAGCUCAAUUAAAUAAACAGACUGUACAACGACAAUCAGCACGAAAUUUCGGUCGCUGGCAAUCCCAGUUGAAUUUUCGGAAAAAUAAAUAAUUAAACAAUUAAUUCCGAAAAUUAAAUAAAUACAUACAAUAAAUUCAAUUUAGCAUAAUAUAAAACUCAAUUAAAUAAACGGACUGCACCACGAUCAUCAGCAUAAUAUUCUGGUUCCGGACCAUCUCAGUUGAAUUUUCGGAAAAUAAAUAAUUAUUUAAUUUAAUUCCGAAAAUUAAUAUUAAAAUACCAAAAAUCUCACUUAUGCCCAAAUUGCCUAAUUAACACCCGAUAAGGGUCGGGAAAAAUCCCACAAAGCAUCCAAUAAAUACUACAUGCAAUUCUCUAUCUAAUUACACUAAUCACACCACCAAUAUACAAAGCAAUUAACUAAUAAUCACUAAUCAAUUCUAAUCUAACAACCUAAUUACACUUAAUUAACACUAAUCAACCUUUAAGUAUAAUUAGCAAACUAAGAAGGCAUUAGUGAGUAAAACUCACUCAAAACGACGGGCUCGACGCGAGGAUCGACUUUCCUCAAAGCGGGCCGAGCAUCCGGGCUCGGGAAGGUGGCCAAAACGGGCCAAACAGUUGCUGCAAACCCAUUUUCUGACUUCUCUGAUCGCUACUGGAAGGGGCGGAUUCGGGGCUAAUUCGAGCUAGCCAAGGCCGGUGGAGGGCGAGGGGACUCCGACGGGUCGAAGUGGCGGCGCAUGGCGGCCGGAGGUGGCUGAACCGUGGCUUGUGCUGGCCAAAAUGGAGCUGAACAGAGGCGGAACAGGGGUUGGACAGCAGCUCUGGAACAGCGAGCUGGGCGAGAGGGAGACCGAGCUGAGCGAAGCAGCGGCGGAGCGCACGGCGUCGCGCGGGCGGCGGUGCGGCAGCUCCGGUCCAACAACGCCAGCUGCUGCCCCAACUCCGAUGUCUUCCCAGAUCUGAGAUCCCGAGCAGCAAACGGAGAUGGAGGAAAGAAGGCUUAGACGGCAGUUGAGGAGGGUGAGGAAGGCGAAGGGCGAGCGGUGCUCGGCGGAGCUUGCGGGCGGUGAUAGUGCAGCGACGGUAGUUCUGGUUCGGCCACUAGGUUGACGACAAGCUGCUGCCUUCGUUCCUGCUUCUGUUGGUUCGAACGUCCAAGAGGGAGAGGAAGAGAGAGGGACGGAGCUGUGCACGGGCAGCAGGACGGCGGACGGCAGCGACUCCGGCUCCGGCUGCUUGCUGCGACGGUGCCGAGAGGAAUCGCUGCUGCUUCGACCUGCUGGUUCACUGGUCUUCCGUUUCCAUGGAGUCGCACAACCGAAGAAGAAGAUGGGAAGAGAGAGACAGCGACGGGAGAGAGGAGGGGAGAAGAGAAAACCAAUUUUUUCUUCUUUCUCUCUCUCUCUCUCUCUCUCUCUUAGGUCAGCCAUACGUGGGCCACCAUGGCUGUCAUCCACCCACAUUUCUAGCCCAAAACUACCCCUUCUAGAAGCCCUUAGAUAGGCCAAAAUGUGGGGGUAAGUGUGGCAUACGAAUUUUGCUAGGGUUUCUCUCCAAUUGGGCCUUAAUUCCUCUUGAAUUAAAUCAAAUUAAUUCCCAUAAUUUCAUUCAACACCUCAUCAUUCCAAUUGGUAUUUUUCCUUACCAAUGUAGCCCACUUGCAUCCCAAUUUCACAAUCCCUGGCUUCAAUUGAACGAAAACGGCCCUAUUAUCCAGUCGAAAUUAGAACCCGAAAAUCUGGAUGUCACAAUUAAUCUCACUAAGAAUCCAAUUUUACAUUCAAGAGCAAAGCACAUAAAGAUUCGACACCAUUUUAUUAGAGACCAUGUUCAAAACGGAGAAGUCUUAAUUCAAUUCAUUGACUCAAAGAAUCAGCUGAAGGACAUUUUUACAAAACCACUAGAGAAAAAUCUAUUGAGUCUAUUCGCUCCAUACUUAAUAUCUUAAAGUCUGAAGAAGUUCAGACUCAAGAAUAAAAGUCUGAAGAUGCUCAGACUCAAAAGACCAAAAGUUACGACUAUAAGUUAUUUCAGUUCUAGCAAUUUAGCUUUCGGAUAAAAACUCGAAAAGGUACGGUUGCUUAUUAAUCGGCAAUUAUUAUCUUCCCAAGUUUUUGAAAUUGUAACAAUUAUUCUUUUUCGAAAAGGAAGUUAUUUUUUUUAAGAUGACAAUUAUCUAUCUUCAAAAAGGCAGUUAUUUUUUUAAAUAUUUUUUUUUCCUUUUAUGACGAUUCGUAUACUUCGUUUCGACUGCUUUAUAUACUAUCUUUCUUCUUCAUUUUUACUCACAAACCCUAGAGCACAAAACUUCACCUUCUAACUUUUUCUCUCUAGUUUAAUCCUUAAAGUUUUCAUCUUUCUCGCGAAUCGAGUUCGGAAAUUCUCUCAAAGACUGUGAUAAUGUCUUCCUAAAGGAAGUCCUCAAGGAUUGCAAGCAGGGGACCACAACAUAUGCGUGAGGGUCCACGCACUUCAAUCUGACCAAGGAAGAAGACUCUUCAAGGUAGCAGCAAAGUCAACAACAACAUUCUCAACCGCGCUAUUCUUCUCAGGCUAGACCACAAGAGUCUCCAUUGCAACAGGCAGAGGAAGAAAUUAUUGAGGAUGUCGAACCUAUAAGGACUCUUAAGCCUGCUUUUACUUUCAAACUCUACACCGCCCUGAAGGAAGGUGGUUCUCAGAUGACCUUUAUUGAUGAAUUUUUGAAAGAAAAAUGGUACUGAAGUUAAACCUAUUUUUUAAGAACGAUGGAACGUUUGGGAAUUGCUCAUGCUGGUUCGGUAGAAAGGGCUUUUGCGAAAUUCCCAAGUGAUCCACGUUUUGGAGGAUUUAAUCAACCAGAAGGAAAAGAUGAUGAUGAGAAAUUGUUCACUCAUUUAAACCUAGAAUGGGUGUUGCUGCGAAUAUUCGAGGAAAAAUGCCAGAUUUGUUUCGUUCUGAGGAGCAUAAGCGUUUACUCUAAGUUGCUGAAGCGAGGGGUGAUGAACCCAAGGAAUGUGGAUUUUAAUUUUCUCGAUUCUCUGAACAUGAAGUUACGGGAGAAAUUUGCUUUACUUCAACUAGAACGUUUUUGCUCUGAGACAGCUGUAGCUCAUCCAGAACUUACCACGUAGUUCUAUUCCAAUAUAAGCUUUUUAGAUACGAAUAGAUUUUCAUUCAGUGUUAGAGACCAGGAUUAUGUGGUUGAUAUGAACACUCUGGCUGAUGUGAUUGGAGUGGAGAGAGGGAUAUUCCAAUCAAUUAGUGUGUCUAUUAGUCAUCUACUAUGGAGCUUGUUCGAGACAUAAUUGCAUAAGGCCGGAUUUCGUAUUUGAGGAUGAGUGCCUUAAAUGUCUUACUCCAUAAGAUAGUAAUUAAUUGUCUUAGACCCAAAUCCACAUCAAAGACUAAUGUCUCCAAUUUUGAAGCGAAGCUGAUGUACGCCAUCAAUAUUGGUUACAAGUUCUCUCUGCCACACACUAUCAUGUUCCACAUGUAUAGGUCAAUGGUAAAGGAUAAGGGGCAACUUCUCUAUUCAACUCUUGUUACUCGUCUAUUCAGACGUCUUAAUAUUCAGCCUCCUAAAAUUAUGAAUGUUUGAACUUGUGAUCCAAUGGUGGUAGGACUGAAGAUGGUUUUGAAGAUGCAUUUGAAAGAGCUAAACAAGGCUUUAGAGCGUUUUAAGGAGAAGACCCCUAUCAAGACUCAUCAAGAUCCUGUGGCAGCAAAACGGAAAGGCAAGGACCCCAUGACAGCUCCAUCUAAGAAGAAGAGAGCACUCAUCUUGCAGGAUGAAGAAGAUGAGGAUGACAUCACCAUUUCCACUCUUGCCUUAAAGAACUUAUAGCAUUUGUUCCAGAAACAGAGGAUAGAGAGAACCAAGACAGAGAGGAAACAGAACAGAGAAGUGAAAAAAGGGAAUCGAUGAGGAAAGAAGAAGAAGAAGGAAGAACUGCAAAAGAAGAGCAAAGAGGAGAACGAACAGAAGGAGAAAGUCAUGGUGAUUCUCCAGCAGAGGAUGAAGGACAAAGUCAUCAAGGGAUUGAAGAAGAACCAAAGCACGAAGAGUACUUCUAUCACGCCCCGAUCCUCGGACACACACACAUCCUUCUUACUUGGUCGAUUUUAUAAUGAGAUAUCCCAUGACUAUGUAUCGUCGACCCUUUCUUUUAUUAAGCACAUGCGGAAGCAGUUAUAAAUCCCCAGACAGUAAAUCGAUGGGAUAGAAAAGUAAGGCCAUAUUUUUCAUAUUGAAAUUCACAACCAUUCUUUUAUACAGAACAUAACUCAAAGAACUUCACAAAACUAUUCACAACUUUCUAACUUCACUCUAUUCACAUCAAAACAGGAUUCCCAAAAGAGGAUGGGACCUCAGUCCUCAUUCGGUCGUACUCAGGAUCCCUUUCUGGAUCAUCUUCUUCUUCAAAAAUCUUUCUUCUCCUCAGGUUUCACUUCAGUGUUCUCCUUCUUCGAUUCCUCCUCCUCGGGUUCAUCUACGGGCCUGAAAUGUUGUCCCACAACCGGAAUAAGACUACGUCUCAGUGACUCCUACCCCACUAAGGUCCGAUUAGUAAACCAUUAUACUAUAGGCUGCUUAAACACACACAGGUCAGAGGACUUACCUUGGCCUCA
This 5924-nucleotide long non-coding RNA is filed under the name Eucalyptus grandis. RNAcentral describes it as "long non-coding RNA (EGRA_LNC001796)". The record is from RNAcentral. Lineage: Eukaryota; Viridiplantae; Streptophyta; Magnoliopsida; Myrtales; Myrtaceae.